CUAAUUCAGCCCACGCACCUGCACAGAAAACCCACAUCAACGUGCUUGCUUCGGCAGUCAGCCCGUGGAGCCAAAAGCUGAGCCUGAAAGCAAAGGUGAAAUCAAAUACGAAAAUUGCACAGCAGCCUUGCCGGAGUCCGCUACCCAGAGGCCCCGCUGAAACCCCAUCUGGCAGCCUCCACACAGACAAGAAGACGGUGCUCAGGGUGUGACAUGGUGAUGUCGCCAGUAAGGAUGUGGUCCUUUCUGCUGGCCGUGGUCAUCCUUCGUGAAGCUAACGGAGAUGGAUGGGUAAUAAAACACCUUUCGGAAAGGCACCAAGUGAGCACUCCUGCUUCCGCUCGCACCUUCUGCACCCAGAGACGACGUGGAAAGGGAAGCAUCGCUGGACUCUCAGCCUUUCCUGCAUUUGAAGACCAACCUUUCGAUGCCUCCAUUUCCAACCAGCAAUGUACUCUCAGAAGGUUCUCCUAGUAGUUCAGUGACAUUGUCUCGUGUGGAAUCGUGAUUACACAGACGAGAUGUGAAGCACACUCGGGCACUGUUGGGAUCUACCUUGCUUACCAAGAUGCAUGCAGCUGCCAACCUCACUCAUACCAUGUCCCAUUCCUCAAACAGUCACUUCAGUGAAUAUAAAUUGUUAAUGAGAUUAGCAUAAUACCUAUCACAUUUGAAAUUGUGGGCAAUUAGAUACUACCAUUUAAAUAGAUAUUUCCCAUGAGAUUUUCUUUUGCUAAAGAUCUUCCUUGGCAAUGAAGUCUUCAAAAUGUAAAAUUAUUCUCUCUCUCUCUCUCUCUCUCUCUCUCUCUCUCUCUCUCUGUCUAUCUGUGUGUGUCUGUGUGUGUGUGAACAGAUUGUCAGAUUCCAUCUUUUUGGUAUGACAUUUGCCACCAUUCUAGUCGCGGUGGGUUCAUACAUCCCAAGGCAGGAGCUUGAGGGUUAGACAACAUUAAGCAGGAAGACAGAGAUAAGGAAGAAUCACAGAGACACGGGAUAGUAACGGAAAGGCGACUCAGUGAACAAGGAAUAAUACUGCAAGUAGCCCUCGUUUCUUGGCAU
This is a non-coding RNA of Myodes glareolus (Bank vole), 1059 nucleotides long. The record is from RefSeq and is a predicted model, not a curated record. Lineage: Eukaryota; Metazoa; Chordata; Mammalia; Rodentia; Cricetidae.